UGGGUUUUGGCUAGGGUUUUGCUAUGGUAAUCGAAUUGAGAAAUUGGAGUUCAAAAAGGAAUCUGAGAAGGGGAUUUGAACCGAGAGAAGUUUUGGCUCGAAUAUGAGAAGUUACUGGUACUAUAAAAGAUAAAUCUGAGAUAGAGAAGUUGGUGUUGUUGUACGUCAGAAUUAGGGUUGGAUUGAAGGUUAGAUCGAGGAUUGGAGACAAAAUUGUUGCAGUGAAGAAAGUCGAUUGAAUUGAAAUGAGUUUGAUUGAUUCAUGGCUGUGAACGAGUAAGUUUUGCAGCGGAUUGGUUUCGAAGCUCAAUGGAAGAAGAAGAAGAGAAAUGAGGUAUUGUUGUUCCCAUGGAUUAAUGGGUUUCUGGUUGAAUCUGCAAUGACAAAGACGAUAAUAAAUUGAAGCGAUUUCUGCUGAUAGUGAGAUUGUGAAGCAGAUGCUGGUGGUGCUGCAAUUCAGAAGAGAUGAACGAGAUAUUGAAUCUGAUAUUGUUAAUGUGUUGGUGGUUGAAAUGGGAUCUGUUGCUGGUAGAUUUGAGAGAUGGAUUUCGAAUUGGAUUUCUAAAAUUCCCUCUCAUUUCCGUAGAGAGGCGUUCAACCUCCAUUGAUGAAUCAACACCAUCCCUGCUGAACCAAUGCUCCCCAACCAGGUGGAUAUAUGUAUGGGUAUCGAAUUAUUAUCAAUGCUUAGUGUCUGAACAUUUGACUCCACAUCAAUGGAUUUCGAAUUGGUGGAUUUGACAGAAUAGGCAGAUGAAGUUGUUGCCGUUCAAAUUGAGGAUGCAUGUUAAACUGGGUAAGAAAUUAUAGAUGGGUUUGUGAUGAUGUGAACCAGAGAAGAUGAGUGUGAUGUUGUUGAGAAAAUGGGUUGUCAAAUUGAGUACCAGAAGUUGAGUUUGGAUGAUGAUCGUUGUUAUAAAAAUAGGGAAAGAGAAGCACAAAUUACUGAUGUGCAAUACAG
This is a long non-coding RNA of Papaver somniferum (opium poppy), 961 nucleotides long. RefSeq lists it as uncharacterized. Lineage: Eukaryota; Viridiplantae; Streptophyta; Magnoliopsida; Ranunculales; Papaveraceae. The transcript has 2 exons. The record is from RefSeq and is a predicted model, not a curated record.